AUUGAACGCUGGCGGCAGGCCUAACACAUGCAAGUCGAACGGUAGCACAGAGAGCUUGCUCUCGGGUGACGAGUGGCGGACGGGUGAGUAAUGUCUGGGAAACUGCCCGAUGGAGGGGGAUAACUACUGGAAACGGUAGCUAAUACCGCAUAACGUCGCAAGACCAAAGUGGGGGACCUUCGGGCCUCACACCAUCGGAUGUGCCCAGAUGGGAUUAGCUAGUAGGUGGGGUAAUGGCUCACCUAGGCGACGAUCCCUAGCUGAUCUGAGAGGAUGACCAGCCACACUGGAACUGAGACAAGGUCCAGACUCCUACGGGAGGCAGCAGUGGGGAAUAUUGCACAAUGGGCGCAAGCCUGAUGCAGCCAUGCCGCGUGUAUGAAGAAGGCCUGCGGGUUGUAAAGUACUUUCAGCGGGGAGGAAGGCGGUGAAGUUAAUAACUUCACCGAUUGACGUUACCCGCAGAAGAAGCACCGGCUAACUCCGUGCCAGCAGCCGCAGUAA
RNAcentral lists this ribosomal RNA (504 nucleotides) under uncultured bacterium. RNAcentral describes it as "partial 16S ribosomal RNA". It matches the Rfam family "Bacterial small subunit ribosomal RNA", at positions 30 to 523 of the family's 1533-position model. The record is from RNAcentral.